RNAcentral lists this ribosomal RNA (1019 nucleotides) under Staphylococcus aureus. Its description in RNAcentral is "partial 23S ribosomal RNA". It matches the Rfam family "Bacterial large subunit ribosomal RNA", at positions 12 to 1027 of the family's 2925-position model. The record is from RNAcentral. Lineage: Bacteria; Bacillati; Bacillota; Bacilli; Caryophanales; Staphylococcaceae.
UAAGGGCGCACGGUGGAUGCCUUGGCACUAGAAGCCGAUGAAGGACGUUACUAACGACGAUAUGCUUUGGGGAGCUGUAAGUAAGCUUUGAUCCAGAGAUUUCCGAAUGGGGAAACCCAGCAUGAGUUAUGUCAUGUUAUCGAUAUGUGAAUACAUAGCAUAUCAGAAGGCACACCCGGAGAACUGAAACAUCUUAGUACCCGGAGGAAGAGAAAGAAAAUUCGAUUCCCUUAGUAGCGGCGAGCGAAACGGGAAGAGCCCAAACCAACAAGCUUGCUUGUUGGGGUUGUAGGACACUCUAUACGGAGUUACAAAGGACGACAUUAGACGAAUCAUCUGGAAAGAUGAAUCAAAGAAGGUAAUAAUCCUGUAGUCGAAAAUGUUGUCUCUCUUGAGUGGAUCCUGAGUACGACGGAGCACGUGAAAUUCCGUCGGAAUCUGGGAGGACCAUCUCCUAAGGCUAAAUACUCUCUAGUGACCGAUAGUGAACCAGUACCGUGAGGGAAAGGUGAAAAGCACCCCGGAAGGGGAGUGAAAUAGAACCUGAAACCGUGUGCUUACAAGUAGUCAGAGCCCGUUAAUGGGUGAUGGCGUGCCUUUUGUAGAAUGAACCGGCGAGUUACGAUUUGAUGCAAGGUUAAGCAGUAAAUGUGGAGCCGUAGCGAAAGCGAGUCUGAAUAGGGCGUUUAGUAUUUGGUCGUAGACCCGAAACCAGGUGAUCUACCCUUGGUCAGGUUGAAGUUCAGGUAACACUGAAUGGAGGACCGAACCGACUUACGUUGAAAAGUGAGCGGAUGAACUGAGGGUAGCGGAGAAAUUCCAAUCGAACCUGGAGAUAGCUGGUUCUCUCCGAAAUAGCUUUAGGGCUAGCCUCAAGUGAUGAUUAUUGGAGGUAGAGCACUGUUUGGACGAGGGGCCCCUCUCGGGUUACCGAAUUCAGACAAACUCCGAAUGCCAAUUAAUUUAACUUGGGAGUCAGAACAUGGGUGAUAAGGUCCGUGUUCGAAAGGGAAACAGCC